Non-coding RNA from Tulasnella sp. 332, 100 nucleotides. NCBI's taxonomy places the organism in Eukaryota, Fungi, Basidiomycota, Agaricomycetes, Cantharellales, Tulasnellaceae. The record is from the annotation of a GenBank genome assembly.
GGUUGAGUAGUGUAGUGGUUAUCACAUCGGAUUCUGAUUUACUGGCUUUGAGCCAACGCCUGGAGUUCCGGUAACCUGGGUUCGACUCCCAGCCCGACCU